CCGAGUUUUCGGGCUUCGGCUCGACUCUCCCACCCUUUGUGAACGUACCUCUGUUGCUUUGGCGGCUCCGGCCGCCAAAGGACCUCCAAACUCCAGUCAGUAAACGCAGACGUCUGAUAAACAAGUUAAUAAACUAAAACUUUCAACAACGGAUCUCUUGGUUCUGGCAUCGAUGAAGAACGCAGCGAAAUGCGAUAAGUAAUGUGAAUUGCAGAAUUCAGUGAAUCAUCGAAUCUUUGAACGCACAUUGCGCCCCUUGGUAUUCCGGGGGGCAUGCCUGUUCGAGCGUCAUUACAACCCUCAAGCUCUGCUUGGAAUUGGGCACCGUCCUCACUGCGGACGCGCCUCAAAGACCUCGGCGGUGGCUGUUCAGCCCUCAAGCGUAGUAGAAUACACCUCGCUUUGGAGUGGUUGGCGUCGCCCGCCGGACGAACCUUCUGAACUUUUCUCAAGGUUGACCUCGGAUCAGGUAGGGAUACCCGC
RNAcentral lists this ribosomal RNA (483 nucleotides) under Lasiodiplodia sp. MS465. RNAcentral's name for it is "eukaryotic LSU rRNA". The stretch from base 138 to 291 matches the Rfam family "5.8S ribosomal RNA". Lineage: Eukaryota; Fungi; Ascomycota; Dothideomycetes; Botryosphaeriales; Botryosphaeriaceae. The record is from RNAcentral.